Molecule: transfer RNA, 78 nt
Filed under: Sphaerodactylus townsendi
Lineage: Eukaryota; Metazoa; Chordata; Lepidosauria; Squamata; Sphaerodactylidae
Description: tRNA-Ser
Rfam family: tRNA (bases 1-68)
About the family: Transfer RNA (tRNA) molecules are approximately 80 nucleotides in length.
Source: RNAcentral
GCCACAGCUCAGUGGUAGAGCAUCUGCUUGGAAUGCAGGAGGUCCUGGAUUCAAUCCCUGUGAUUCCCAGUUAAAACA